Molecule: unclassified non-coding RNA, 298 nt
Filed under: fungal sp.
Lineage: Eukaryota; Fungi
Description: partial internal transcribed spacer region
Rfam family: Eukaryotic small subunit ribosomal RNA (bases 1-45)
Source: RNAcentral
AGUCGUAACAAGGUAUCCGUAGGUGAACCUGCGGAUGGAUCAUUAACAAAGGUGUUUUUGAAGUUAUGUGAACAGUUUUGGUGGUUGUGGGAGUGGUGGAUGGUUGUGGGGGGAGGUGGAAGUGGUUGGGGUGGUGGGAGUGGUUAGAUCAAAUCAAACCACACCAAACACACCACACCACACCAAUCACACCCCACUCUCCUCACCCACAUCACCACUCCCAACUUUAAUGUACAAACUGAUGUCUGCCUAGUUUUCUAAACUAAAACAACUUUUAGCAACGGAUCUCUUGGCUCUC